AGGUGAUUUGCGUGACCUCGUCGCUUUUUCUAUUCGGCCGCUCGCGUCGGACAGUGCCCUCCCUCCUACCCUACCCUGUCCCAUCCUUUGCAUUAUCCACCAUCAGCACCACGCAUUGGCGUAUUGUUCUGCGCUCUGAAAGAGGCACACGAGGAAAGAGGGCACGAGAUCAAGAAAGAGGCCCGCGCAUCUCUCUCCCUUCAAUACGUUUGUGCGCCGCAGGUGCUGUUGUUUUUCACAUCUUUGGCUUGUGUGCCCCUCUUCCCUCUCUUCGUCGCUUUCUGUCCGGCAACGGCGGUCCACCCGCGCAGGGGCUCCGCCAGAGGAGGGGGUGUACAAGGGAAAAGCGCCCAGAAGGUGUCCCAGCUCACUAGCGGAUUACAGGUAUCGCGAUGGAGGCAGUAGGCACAUCAUCGCGUGAUGGUGUGGCAGCAACUGCGCCACCGGACCGGUGCGGCGAUUCUGACCCCGCGCACGCCAUCAACAUCCUCGCACUCAGCGGCGAGAGCGAUUGUCACAGCCGCGGUGCUAGAGGGCAGUCUUACGCGGAAACAGUCAACAUGAACCCCACCUCUUCUAGCUCUCGCUCCUCGCCUCGAAUGGAAGUACACGAGACCAAUAACGCCGGUGCGUUCGUCGUCGCUCCUGCUGCAGCGGCCGGGGCUUCGGAGGUGCUCACCUUAGAUGAGCUCCUGGACGGGCCUGCUGGCUGCCGAGAUUCCACCAGUGAAGCGCCAGCACACUUGCCGGUUAUUAAGUUUCUGACGACGCCACACAAGGACAGUGGCGACAAGCAGAGGGAAGCGCCUGCUGCAGGUCCUACCUAUGCAGAGAAAGCUGCCGCUGCAGCGGCUUCUACUGAGCGCUCGGAGACGACCGCCCUUGCUGAGCUUCCUGCUGCGGCGAAUCUCGCCCCCCUCUCGUCCUCCCGAGAAGUACUGUCGAGUGCGCGAGCCUGGAGCUCGCCUCUUCGAGACUCAGUCGCGGCAGCCUCUGCGCAUCUUUCUGCCCUCCCGGCAGGUGCGGGUAGUAGUGAAGUGCCUCUCUCGGUGCCCACCACAGCUCGUGCGGACCCCCUCGUAGCAGCUGCGGCAGAAUCAGCCGCAUCGCAGUUGCAGGAGGAGACGACCCCGUCGCAUGUUAAAGACGACACCGCUGCCGGUCUGCAAGCGGCAGCAAUCGGCAACGUCGCUGAGAAGUCCCCCAUCGCUAAAAGACCAGCUACAAAAGCGGAGGGGUCACCAAGGGCACUGACGCGAGCUGCAUCCCUCUCCGCUGCGCGUACGGCGCGGCAGGGCGUAGGCCGUGAGCACAACUCGUCCGCCGCGACACCGUUGAAGCGAGUAAGCAAGGGUAGAAGCGCCACGCCCGGGUGCGCCGCUGCGCUGCUGCGUGACAUACUGGGCACUGCCACGCCUGCGGACAGAGCGGCGGCUGAUGCGCGCAAGAGCAGGGCGGCCUCCACAGCACCACCUCCAAUCUCCACGCUUGACUUGCCCGUCGGGCUGCUCCUCCUGUACUGCGCCGCCGAGGAGACGUGCACCUCGUUGGAAGGCGGCGCGACUCCGUCGAUCUCCUCCGCCUCGGCCUACUCGCUGCUUUACAUUCUGGAGCAGAUCUCCGACUUACGGCGCCGCAAUCACCGGCAAGCGGCACUAAAGCAGGCCAGCGAGCUGGAGCGUGCGAAAUGCGAGGAGCUCUACGAAGCGGCGGAGAAGAAGCGCGCAUUGGCCGCGGCCCAACGAACCGCGCACGCACAGGCGGUAGAGCAGGAGGAGCUUCGCGCCUGCACGUUCCGCCCGGCUGUGUCGAAGAUGGCGCGGCGUAUGGAGGCGAAGGGCGCGAAGAACUUUAUGGAGAAGUGUAUGGCGUGGAGGGCGGAGGCGGAUCGCCGGCUGCGCCAGAGGUGCGACCGCCUUGCUGAGCUGGAGGCGGAGCAGCGGGCUGCGGCCGCAGCGCAGAGCGGCAUGUUGACACCUGGCAAGGCGGUCACGGAGGGAAGCCGACGCCUACUGGCACAGCCGAGCGUACAAGAGCGACUCAGGUCCCGACCGUGCUUAUGGGAGGUGAAACGGCCAAGCGAGGGUCCGAAGGAGGGUGGGGUGAGUGUACUUGUGCCCGCACAUGUACUAGCCGACACCGCAACAUCGUCUCCACGGCUGCUCGGCGCACCAAUCACUUCCUCGACAGCGGAGGAGCAGGAGGCUGUCUUGCGCGAGUUGUGCCGGCCCGGUACUGAGGCAGGAGUGUCAGGCGAUCUAACGCCGCAGCUGCCGCAGAGCACGUCUACUUCUCGCGUGCCCAAAAACAGUAGGGGCACCGUGAAGGGGUUCCUGAGCCGUGUCGAGCAGGAUGCGGAGCGUCGCGAACAGACCGUGGCGAAGCUGCAGGCACGCUACCACAACCCCGACACGGAACUCUUUGAGGGUGAAACAGGGCGGCCGUUUUUUCGCCCCAACGCGAUGCCGAUGGCGUGGAAGGACGGGCACCGCGUGAGCUACGUCGAGCUGCCCAAGGAGAAGCAGAAAGACUUUCGUGCAGAGCUGCGCCGAGCCGGGCUCGACUUUGUGCUGGCACAUUACCUGCGAGAGCGUCAGAGAGAGAAACAGCAGAGCGUCACCGGCAGCGGCCGGGUGUCGUCGGUAGCAUCGCAGGGCAAUGGCGCCGACGUCGCUGAGGGAAGCACGGCACCUCGGCACUCCACCUCGUCGCAGUCGCAUGGACACGCCAUGACAGUGGCGCAUCAGGCGCGCUUCAUGGCGUCGCUUGAGGCGGCGCUGGCGCGCAAGCAGAAGAACUGGGAGCGUCUGCGAGCGCAGGCGACGGCGGAUGAAACCUUCCACCCCCAAAUCACCAAGCGGUCAGCGAGGAUGGCGCUUCACAAGACAGGUGGCACACCUAUCUAUGAGCGCCCAACGGAGCUCAGGAGGGGGGCCAGCGCGCAAGGUGCUCGGUCGGAGAAGUCACAGGGGCAGCCCUCUUCUGCUGUUCGCAAAGAUAGGCCGCUGCCCGAGGUGGCGCAGGUUUUUCUCGACCGAAGCGGGAAGUGGAUGGAGUCACGGCAGCGGCGGCUGCAGCAUCUCGCAGAGAUGGAGGAGGAGCGGCGGCGCGCUGAGUGCACCUUCACCCCGAAUCGCUACUUCGGGGACGCGUGCGAGAAGACAGAGGUUCCUCGCGGCACGGAAGUGAGUCGGACGGGUGCGUCGUCGCAUACGGACUCGCUAGUGGCGCCAGACGCGGGUGGUGGCGAUGCCGAGGGCUACCGAGACACUUCUCAGGCCCGCGUGCUGCUGCAGGAUCUGAUGGCAUCGGCAGCUGACGUGCGCGUGAUGAAUGAGCUGGAGCUGCUCCGCUCCGGUGCCGCCUACCGCGAUGAGCGCUUUGUUCAGGCGGUUUGCGAGCAAAGCGGGCUGGCCGACACGAGGCGAGCCAUGGCAAACCUGUCUCUCCAGUCUGCACCGCGCCUCACCAGAAGCCGCAAGGACGCGUGGGAAGCAUCGAGACCGCCUCACCAGUCUGCCGCGACUCUGUUCCAGUCGCCCCUCUCCCCUAUUCCCCAGAGAUCCAACCGGCCAUCCGCCUCGCCAUACCCGCUGCCGCGCCGGGGCACCCUCACACCGUUCUCGUCCUUCCACGAUAGCGCGCCGAAGUCGGUGCCAACGCUGUCGCAAGGCGAAUCGGCGCAGACGCCGAUGCCUCGCACCGUAGCCAGGGACGCUACAGCGGCUCGCUCUGGCGUUCGCGAUUUCGCACUGAGCUUUCCGCCCGUGGAGGACCCGUGGGCGGCGCUCGACGCGCAGACCGACGCUAUCCUCAAGCGUCAUGGGCGCUAACAAAGGAAGAUGAAAGGGGUGGUAUCCAUCGGGUAUCCGAAUCCUGUCCUCGCCAUCAGCCUCAUGCUGCUACUCAUACUCUCUCGUGGGUGCAUGUGCGCUUGUAUAUAUGUUUGUUUGCGUAUUCUUCCGGCGUCUGUGUAGACCGGCUGCUGCUGAUCGCGUGCGCUGUCUCACUGCAGUCUACUAGAGACACCGGCGCGCUUGCACCGCCGCAGUGACUACUAGCCCCCAACACGAAAAAGCAAAACACAGGAAGAACGCAAAGAAGAGCCACUGCCAACUGCUUCUUGUCGCCCCUCUCCCUUGCACUCGCACGGGUGUCUGUGUGUGCGUGCGUGUGUGCGUGUGCCUGUGCAAGCCGAGGAGGAGGAGGGGCGAGCGCAGCGUGCGAGUGUGUCUCUGUCUCUCUCUCUCUCUGUAUGUGUGUGCUUUGCGGAGGCUGGCUGCUGAGUCGGAUAGGGUGGCAUAAUCUGCGUGCCAUCUGGUUUCUCCCCUCUCGGUGCCUGCUUCCCCACUCGCACUCUCUCUCGCUUUCGCUGGCUCAGUCGUCAAAUCGAGGGCCCAUUCUGCACGGCAGGCCCGCCAUGUACUGUCGCACCUCCUUUACCGCAGCGUCCUCGCUCCCUUCCUCGAGAGCUCCGCUUUCCGUGAAGUGC
Molecule: unclassified non-coding RNA, 4492 nt
Filed under: Leishmania donovani
Lineage: Eukaryota; Euglenozoa; Kinetoplastea; Trypanosomatida; Trypanosomatidae
Description: gene:LdHU3.32.3750(CDS-product:hypothetical_prote in_conserved)
Source: RNAcentral